Molecule: non-coding RNA, 821 nt
Organism: Nicotiana tabacum (common tobacco)
Lineage: Eukaryota; Viridiplantae; Streptophyta; Magnoliopsida; Solanales; Solanaceae
Source: RefSeq, a predicted model, not a curated record
UUAAGCCAACGGACUAAUGUGAUGUUAGUGGUUUGCAUAAACUAAAAGUACAUAUCAGAACUGUAGUAGAAGCAUUUUGGUUCAAAUACUCUUCAUCCUGAUAGGAAAUUCAGAAAGCAUACCUCAAGUUUUUUGAUAGAGGCAUAGUCCUCUUAUUAGAUAAAGCUAAUAUAAGUAAACAAUUAACAAUUAGUUUGCUUAAAGUUCAUAUUCUGUGAAUCACGUAAGCUAAUUCCUCUUUUUUACCCAGAAGGCCAGAAACUCUUUACAUGGGAGAACUUUUACCUAAAACUUUUGGUGUUAUUAAAUAAUUUGGCAGGAUGAUUCUUGAAACAGAUGGUAGUGUCAUUGCUGGCAAAGUUGCUAGUCAUAAUAUGGAUGAUGGGUCACCCAUUUCCGAGCAGACAAUCAGUCAAGCUUUGGCAACGGCUCGUGAGCAUUUUACAAGAUCGCUUCUCAGAUGAAGCAUCUCAAUGCUUGUGAAAAGAGAUUAAUUGACUUCAUUCUUUAGAAGUGUUUGUCCCCAAAAUUUUUAGUUGGUUUUUCCUCGGGAUGGAAAUAUUGUCCAUCCUUUUAAGUCGAUUCAUGUUUUAAGUUCAUAUAGAAUAUCUUAUUUCUGUUAGUUUUAAGCCUUUUACUCCAAAUGUCAUUUAGGCACUUGCAGUAGGCCAGCCAAUAGUGAUAGAGGUUUUGACAAUUUUUAAAUUUUUGUGCUCGUUACUGUGCGGUCCAGGAUUUUCUUUUCCGUUUCUUAGUUCUUGUGAUAGAACCAUGCUACAUUGCUACCUAAUGCCAACGGCUGAUUCUGUUUGUCCGUAAAA